GUUCCGGUAGCUCAGCGGGAGAGCGCCGCCUCGACAAGGCGGAAGUCGCUGGUUCGAUCCCAGCCCGGAGCA
RNAcentral lists this transfer RNA (72 nucleotides) under Paractinoplanes aksuensis. RNAcentral's name for it is "tRNA-Val". It matches the Rfam family "tRNA". From Rfam's summary of the family: Transfer RNA (tRNA) molecules are approximately 80 nucleotides in length. Their secondary structure includes four short double-helical elements and three loops (D, anti-codon, and T loops). RNAcentral also lists the same sequence under 1 other name. Lineage: Bacteria; Bacillati; Actinomycetota; Actinomycetes; Micromonosporales; Micromonosporaceae. The record is from RNAcentral.